Long non-coding RNA from Solanum pennellii, 1841 nucleotides. RefSeq lists it as uncharacterized. The transcript has 3 exons. NCBI's taxonomy places the organism in Eukaryota, Viridiplantae, Streptophyta, Magnoliopsida, Solanales, Solanaceae. The record is from RefSeq and is a predicted model, not a curated record.
CUCACUUUGGUACUUAAAUUACAGGGGUGUUUUUAUACCCCCUUAACAUGUUUAAUGUGAAUUAUUUUCAAUCCUUUGAACGCCAGUCCAGUUGAACUGACAUUGUUACACAUGCGCGUUUUCAGUGGUCCACGUCACUAAGGGUGUAAAAAAUAUCUUACUCAUUCCCAAAAUACAAUCCGACCCACUUAUAAAAAAAUAUCCCUAAAUCUCUAAGCCCCGUUCCCAAAAUACAACCUGAUCCACUUAUAAACAAAUAUCCCUAAAUUCCUAAGCCCGCGAUUCUCAUUCGCUUCACUUCUCUCAAAUCUACAAGACCGAAUCUGAAGAAAUUUCUUUCGUUAGUGUGAAUGAGUUGUUGAUUUUAGGGGUUUCGUGAAAGAAACAAAGGAUUGCAUGAAGAAACAAAGUUACCAGUUUAAUGAUGGAUGUGUACAUUACCUUCAUGUUUUACCAUGGUGGAAAACUUCAGCAAAAACCUCGUAUUAAGAAUGAAGGAGGUAUUGUCACCGAUUGUUUUGACGUAGAUGUUGAUAAAUUGUCCUACUUUCAAUUUGUAGAUAUAGUUAAAGAAAUUUGGUAUAACUGUGCUGCUAGUGUUCUUUAUAUUAAACCACCUAAAUGUCGACUGUUGUUGAAGUUAAAUAUGAUAGGGAUAUUAUGGGUAUUAUAAUUAAAUUAAAAAAUGGAGAUAUUAUUGAAACUUUGUAUGACUCAUUUAGUUAAAGAAGAUGUUGCGGCCCCACCAACAAUUGGAUAUCUAAAUGAUGUGGGUCGGGUGGAUGGGGAAUCCAAUGCUACUUUUAAUAAGGAAUCUAGUCAUACUUUUGAGGGUAGUGAAGGUUUAGGAUUUGAAGAGGCUGCACAACAUGCACAACUAGAAGAACCUAUUGUGGGUGAAGAGUUGGGUAGGACUUCUGCUAAUGCUGGAGAGGAAUUGGGUAGGGCUUCUGCUAGUGUUGGAUAGGACUUGGGUAGGGAUUCUGUAAGUAUGGAGAUGACUUGCAUGAUACUUCUUCUUCUGCUGGGGUUUGAUUGGGAAAGUGAAACAAAAGUAAGUGAUAAUUCAGAAAAUGCAAAUUUGUCUGAUGAAAGAGAAGAUGAGUAUGGUAGUGAUGUUCAUGAGGAGGUUAUAAAUCUUAGGAAAGAGAAAAAAGCUGCUUAAUAAAAAAGAGAAAAAAAGGCCUUAGAAGAUCUGAAGGAGUUGAUUUAGGAAAAAAUAGGAGUUGAUUUGGAAUUUGAUGGAUAUCUAUCCAAGAAAGAAACUACUUUUAGAGGGCAAGAUAACUGGAGAUGAGCCCUAAUUUGAUUCAGAUGAAUCUAUUAGUUUUGAAAUAUAUACUGGUGAAGAUGAUAAUGAGGAAGAUGAGGUUGAACUACCUCUAAGAAGACAAAGAAAAGUAAGAAAAACAAAAUGAAAUAAAAGAAAGUUGUAUUUGAUCCUACAUGUUAGUUAAUAGUUUGGGAGACUGCUCUUGUUGUUGAAAGUGUUAAGCAUUUUAGAGAAGCUAUUACUAGAUAUGCUGUUUAAGAACAUGUUAAAUUAGAUAAAAUAUGUUAAUGAAGCAAGUAGGGUGAGGGUAAAGUAUACAACUGGUUGUCUAUGAUUGUUGUUUGGAAGUAUUGAUCCAAGAACAUGAGAUUUUGUGGUGAAGAAUUACAAUCCAGCACAUAAAUGCAAUAGCACAAGUAGAAAUAAAUUGGUGAAUUCAAAGUACUUAGUAGAAAGGUACAAGGACAGAAUAAUUUCUGAGCCUGACAUUGGAGUUUUUCAGUUUCAACUUUUAGUGAAGAAAGAGUUAAAUAUGUAUUUGGGGAGGACUGUAAUAAGGAAAGCUAGA